This is a non-coding RNA of Triticum aestivum (bread wheat), 125 nucleotides long. The record is from Rfam. NCBI's taxonomy places the organism in Eukaryota, Viridiplantae, Streptophyta, Magnoliopsida, Poales, Poaceae.
CUUGUCCUCCCUCUGUUCAAAAAUACUUGUCAAAGAAAUGGAUAGAAAUGGAUGUAUCUAGAACUAAAAUAUGUCUAGAUACAUCCAUGCCUUCGACAAGUAUUUCCGGAUGGAGGGAGUAAUAA